This 87-nucleotide transfer RNA is filed under the name Colletotrichum phormii. RNAcentral describes it as "tRNA-Glu". It matches the Rfam family "tRNA". From Rfam's summary of the family: Transfer RNA (tRNA) molecules are approximately 80 nucleotides in length. Their secondary structure includes four short double-helical elements and three loops (D, anti-codon, and T loops). Lineage: Eukaryota; Fungi; Ascomycota; Sordariomycetes; Glomerellales; Glomerellaceae. The record is from RNAcentral.
UCCGAUAUGGUGUAGUGGCCAACAUGAUGCCCUCUCAUCUCUGUGAGAGGUCAGGCAUAGCCCCGAGUUCGAUUCUCGGUUUCGGAA